GGACGAACGCUGGCGGCGUGCCUAAUACAUGCAAGUAGAACGCUGAAGGAAGGAGCUUGCUCUUUCCGGAUGAGUUGCGAACGGGUGAGUAACGCGUAGGUAACCUGCCUGGUAGCGGGGGAUAACUAUUGGAAACGAUAGCUAAUACCGCAUAAAAUUGAUUAUUGCAUGAUAGUCAAUUGAAAGGUGCAACUGCACCACUACCAGAUGGACCUGCGUUGUAUUAGCUAGUUGGUGGGGUAACGGCUCACCAAGGCGACGAUACAUAGCCGACCUGAGAGGGUGAUCGGCCACACUGGGACUGAGACACGGCCCAGACUCCUACGGGAGGCAGCAGUAGGGAAUCUUCGGCAAUGGACGGAAGUCUGACCGAGCAACGCCGCGUGAGUGAAGAAGGUUUUCGGAUCGUAAAGCUCUGUUGUAAGAGAAGAACGAGUGUGAGAGUGGAAAGUUCACACUGUGACGGUAUCUUACCAGAAAGGGACGGCUAACUACGU
Molecule: ribosomal RNA, 497 nt
Filed under: Streptococcus sp. 'ARUP UnID 614'
Lineage: Bacteria; Bacillati; Bacillota; Bacilli; Lactobacillales; Streptococcaceae
Description: bacterial SSU rRNA
Rfam family: Bacterial small subunit ribosomal RNA
Source: RNAcentral